GAAUCCUUGGAACACAUAGAUGAGAUUGGCAUAUUUUUAUCACAUGCUAGUUCCGUGCAAAAAGUAUUGGACACCCACAAGUUGCGAAGAUGCGUAAAACAGCUGCAACUAGCACAGUGCACAGAUCGUCUACCAAAACUCUCUCUAAGAGGAAUGGAGCAUUUGGAGAGGCUUGAAUUAUUGAAGUGCUCGUCCCUGACAGAGCUUGAAAUUUUCAAAGAAAAUAAUCAGCAAGAGCAUCAGGGUUCUGAGAUCACAGUUUUCCCUGGCCACAUCUAUAGGAAAAGGCAGCAAUCUUUUCCCAACCUCUGUAUUGUGAGGAUCCGCAACUGUCCAAUAAAGAACGUGACGUGCCUC
RNAcentral lists this unclassified non-coding RNA (357 nucleotides) under Hevea brasiliensis (rubber tree). Lineage: Eukaryota; Viridiplantae; Streptophyta; Magnoliopsida; Malpighiales; Euphorbiaceae. The record is from RNAcentral.